Chlorocebus sabaeus (green monkey) is the source of this 231-nucleotide non-coding RNA. It matches the Rfam family "Metazoan signal recognition particle RNA". Rfam says of the family: The signal recognition particle (SRP) is a universally conserved ribonucleoprotein. It is involved in the co-translational targeting of proteins to membranes. The record is from Rfam. NCBI's taxonomy places the organism in Eukaryota, Metazoa, Chordata, Mammalia, Primates, Cercopithecidae.
GCCGGGCGCGGUGGCUCACGCCUGUAAUCCCAGCACUUUGGGAGGCUGAGGCGGGUGGAUCAUGAGGUCAGGAGAUCGAGACCAUCCUGGCUAACACGGUGAAACCCCGUUUCUACUAAUAAUACAAAAAAAANNNNNNNNNNUUUUUUUUGUAUUAUUAGUAGAAACGGGGUUUCACCGUGUUAGCCAGGAUAGUCUCGAUCUCCUGACCUCAUGAUCCACCCCUCUCAG